RNAcentral lists this long non-coding RNA (926 nucleotides) under Homo sapiens (human). RNAcentral describes it as "HSALNT0370880". The record is from RNAcentral. Lineage: Eukaryota; Metazoa; Chordata; Mammalia; Primates; Hominidae.
UUCACUGAGUACUCUUGAUGUCAGAUACUUUCCAUAAUGUAUCUCAUUUCAUUAUUGCCAUUUUACAGAUGAGGAGACUGAGGCUCAGAAAGGUGAAUUAACUUGUCCUGACAUCACAGUGUGGAACAUAAUACAACUGGAUCUAAGCUUAAGCAAACACGUGAUGAGGGAACAAGUAAACAGGCAGACAAAAUCGUUACUGGAGUAGGAGGCUGUGGACAUCUGAAGAAAUACCACAGAGGAAGCCUAUACUGCCAUCUUUUUCUCAUUUUUUCUGACAGGAUCUAUAUCAAUUCCUUUUUUCCAUUCCUUAAUUCUAUUAUUUUUAACUACAUAAGACAUUUUGUUACAGGAAAACCAGAAAACCCGAAAACCCAGAAGAAAAUGAAAAUCAUUCACAUUCCCUCCUUUCAGAGAAGGCUAUGACUAUUACAUUUUCAUUGCUUUUUUCCCAUCAACUUUCACAUGCACCAACAUAUAGAGAGUAUUGUUUUUAAUAUUAUUUUACAGAAAUGGUAUCAAACUUGGUGUAUUUCCUCCUCUUUAUUAGUACAUAUCACGAGUGUCUUUCCUUGCUAAUAAAUAUGGAUUGAGUUAAUGUUUAAUGGCUGCCUACUAUUAAAUUCUGUUGUAUGGAUGUCUUAUAAUUUAUUUAAGAACAGUCCUAUUGAUGCACCUUUAGAUUGUUUCUAAGUUUUCAUUCUUAUAAACCAAGCUGAGAUAAGCAUCCUGGCAGCUAAAUAUCUGUACUCAUUCAUGCUUUCUUUCUUAAGAUAAAUUCCUAGAAGUAGUAUUUCCAAAUAAAUAGAUAUACAUAGUUUUGCUGGUACUGUAUUUUUGCAUGCCCAUAAAAAAUAUAUAUAUACACAUAUAUAUAUCACACUGGAGAGUUUUCCUUUCACCCUUUCCUUUUUCAUUGUUGGGAA